This is a regulatory RNA element of Modestobacter sp., 114 nucleotides long. It matches the Rfam family "ALIL pseudoknot". NCBI's taxonomy places the organism in Bacteria, Bacillati, Actinomycetota, Actinomycetes, Geodermatophilales, Geodermatophilaceae. The record is from Rfam.
GGCGUUCUUCGCGGCGGAGCUCGACCGCCCACAGCGGUGAUUGUCGAGUUUAUCGACGCUCACCGGGAGGAGCACGGGGUCGAGCCGAUCUGUGAGCAGCUGCAGAUCGCCCCG